RNAcentral lists this ribosomal RNA (716 nucleotides) under uncultured bacterium. RNAcentral's name for it is "bacterial SSU rRNA". It matches the Rfam family "Bacterial small subunit ribosomal RNA", at positions 10 to 716 of the family's 1533-position model. The record is from RNAcentral.
AGUUUGAUCCUGGCUCAGAGUGAACGCUGGCGGUAGGCCUAACACAUGCAAGUCGAACGGCAGCACGAGAGAGCUUGCUCUCUUGGUGGCGAGUGGCGGACGGGUGAGGAAUGCAUCGGAAUCUACCUUGUCGUGGGGGAUAACGUAGGGAAACUUACGCUAAUACCGCAUACGACCUACGGGUGAAAGCGGAGGACCUUCGGGCUUCGCGCGACUAGAUGAGCCGAUGUCGGAUUAGCUUGUUGGCGGGGUAAAAGCCCACCAUGGCGACGAUCCGUAGCUGGUCUGAGAGGAUGAUCAGCCACACUGGAACUGAGACACGGUCCAGACUCCUACGGGAGGCAGCAGUGGGGAAUAUUGACAAUGGGCGCAAGCCUGAUCCAGCCAUACCGCGUGGGCGAAGAAGGCCUUCGGGUUGUAAAGCCCUUUUGUUGGGGAAGAAAAGCAGUCGGCUAAUACCUGGCUGUUCUGACGGUACCCAAAGAAUAAGCACCGGCUAACUUCGUGCCAGCAGCCGCGGUAAUACGAAGGGUGCAAGCGUUACUCGGAAUUACUGGGCGUAAAGCGUGCGUAGGUGGUUUGUUAAGUCUGAUGUGAAAGCCCUGGGCUCAACCUGGGAAUUGCAUUGGAUACUGGCAGGCUAGAGUGCGGUAGAGGAUGGCGGAAUUCCCGGUGUAGCAGUGAAAUGCGUAGAGAUCGGGAGGAACACCCGUGGC